AAGUUUAAUUUAACUUACUAAGCCCUAAGUAUUGGGUGAAGGCUGGCGGUUUUUUAACCGUCGGCCU
RNAcentral lists this small RNA (67 nucleotides) under Shewanella violacea. RNAcentral's name for it is "Pseudomonas sRNA P26". It matches the Rfam family "Pseudomonas sRNA P26". Rfam says of the family: P26 is conserved across many Gammaproteobacteria species and appears to be consistently located between the DNA directed RNA polymerase (beta subunit) and 50S ribosomal protein L7/L12 genes. The record is from RNAcentral. Lineage: Bacteria; Pseudomonadati; Pseudomonadota; Gammaproteobacteria; Alteromonadales; Shewanellaceae. RNAcentral also lists the same sequence under 1 other name.